Molecule: ribosomal RNA, 494 nt
Filed under: Chernovozyma sophiae-reginae
Lineage: Eukaryota; Fungi; Ascomycota; Pichiomycetes; Serinales; Debaryomycetaceae
Description: [Candida] sophiae-reginae partial large subunit ribosomal RNA
Rfam family: Eukaryotic large subunit ribosomal RNA
Source: RNAcentral
UGAAGAAGGUAACUUUGGUGCUGGCUCUUGUCUAUGUUCCUUGGAACAGGACGUCACAGAGGGUGAGAAUCCCGUGCGAUGAGAUGCCCAGUACCAUGUAAAGUGCUUUCGAAGAGUCGAGUUGUUUGGGAAUGCAGCUCUAAGUGGGUGGUAAAUUCCAUCUAAAGCUAAAUAUUGGCGAGAGACCGAUAGCGAACAAGUACAGUGAUGGAAAGAUGAAAAGAACUUUGAAAAGAGAGUGAAAAAGUACGUGAAAUUGUUGAAAGGGAAGGGCUUGAGAUCAGACUUGGUAUUUUGCGACCUUUUUCCCUUGUGGAGAAGGGCCCCCGCAGUUUACUGGGCCAGCAUCAGUUUGGAUGGCAAGAUAAUGGCAUUGGAAUGUAGCUCGACUUCGGUUGAGUGUUAUAGACUUUGCAGAUAUUGCCUAUCUAGACUGAGGACUGCGUCUUUUGACUAGGAUGCUGGCGUAAUGAUCUUAAGCCGCCCGUCUUGAA